RNAcentral lists this ribosomal RNA (497 nucleotides) under uncultured bacterium. Its description in RNAcentral is "partial 16S ribosomal RNA". It matches the Rfam family "Bacterial small subunit ribosomal RNA", at positions 28 to 507 of the family's 1533-position model. The record is from RNAcentral.
GAUGAACGCUGGCGGCGUGCCUAAUACAUGCAAGUCGAGCGAACAGACGAGGAGCUUGCUCCUCUGACGUUAGCGGCGGACGGGUGAGUAACACGUGGAUAACCUACCUAUAAGACUGGGAUAACUUCGGGAAACCGGAGCUAAGACCGGAUAAUAUAUUGAACCGCAUGGUUCAAUAGUGAAAGACGGUUUUGCUGUCACUUAUAGAUGGAUCCGCGCCGCAUUAGCUAGUUGGUAAGGUAACGGCUUACCAAGGCAACGAUGCGUAGCCGACCUGAGAGGGUGAUGGGCCACACUGGAACUGAGACACGGUCCAGAGUCCUACGGGAGGCAGCAGCAGGGAAUCUUCCGAAAUGGGCGAAAGCUUGACGGAGCAACGCCGCGUGAGUGAUGAAGGUCUUCGGAUCGUAAAACUCUGUUAUUAGGGAAGAACAAAUGUGUAAGUAACUAUGCACGUCUUGACGGUACCUAAUCAGAAAGCCACGGCUAACUACGUG